RNAcentral lists this long non-coding RNA (145 nucleotides) under Haliotis rufescens (red abalone). RNAcentral describes it as "uncharacterized LOC125381465". Lineage: Eukaryota; Metazoa; Mollusca; Gastropoda; Lepetellida; Haliotidae. The record is from RNAcentral.
AGAGAGGGGAUACCUUCAUAACCGCGUGGUCGCAUAUACCCGGGACGAGGAAACAGACGGAAGCUACCAGGAAAUAGAAGAGGGGGGAUCCAUUCAAAAUCGCGUGGUCUCAUAUGCCCGGGAUGAGGACAAUGAUGGGGGCUAC